AACGAACGCUGGCGGCAUGCCUAACACAUGCAAGUCGAACGAGAUCUUCGGGUCUAGUGGCGCACGGGUGCGUAACGCGUGGGAAUCUGCCCUUUGGUUCGGAAUAACAGUUGGAAACGACUGCUAAUACCGGAUGAUGACGAAAGUCCAAAGAUUUAUCGCCAGAGGAUGAGCCCGCGUAGGAUUAGCUAGUUGAUGUGGUAAAGGCGCACCAAGGCGACGAUCCUUAGCUGGUCUGAGAGGAUGAUCAGCCACACUGGGACUGAGACACGGCCCAGACUCCUACGGGAGGCAGCAGUGGGGAAUACUGGACAAUGGGCGAAAGCCUGAUCCAGCAAUGCCGCGUGAGUGACGAAGGCCUUAGGGUUGUAAAGCUCUUUUACCCGGGAUGAUAAUGACAGUACCGGGAGAAUAAGCUCCGGCUAACUCCGUGCCAGCAGCCGCAGUAA
This 449-nucleotide ribosomal RNA is filed under the name uncultured bacterium. RNAcentral describes it as "partial 16S ribosomal RNA". It matches the Rfam family "Bacterial small subunit ribosomal RNA", at positions 29 to 523 of the family's 1533-position model. The record is from RNAcentral.